This 254-nucleotide ribosomal RNA is filed under the name uncultured bacterium. Its description in RNAcentral is "partial 16S ribosomal RNA". It matches the Rfam family "Bacterial small subunit ribosomal RNA", at positions 524 to 776 of the family's 1533-position model. The record is from RNAcentral.
UACGGGGGGAGCAAGCGUUGUUCGGAUUUACUGGGCGUAAAGGGCGCGUAGGCGGCCACCGCAAGUCACUUGUGAAAUCUCCGGGCUUAACCCGGAAAGGUCAACUGAUACUGCGGGCCUUGAGCCAGCUAGGGGCAACCGGAACAAACGGUGGAGCGGUGAAAUGCGUAGAUAUCAUUUGGAACGCCAAUGGUGAAAACAGGUAGCUGGGAGUGUGCUGACACUGAGACACGAAAGCCAGGGGAGCGAACGGG